UCCCAUUGUUUCAUUGGGUUUUCUUUUUCUAGUGGUGGAGAGGGAAGGAAAUAAAUAUUUUUUUAAUUGGGAAUUUUUUUUAAUUAAAAAAAAAGAACACUAGAUUGAAUCGUUAUCAGUAGAGUAUGUGUUCUGGAGAGUGGAAAGAGAUACAAAAUGAAGAGGAAUCAAUGUCAAAAUCAUGGAAACAUAAUGAAAAUCUUUCCAGCACCAUUUGGCAUUUCAGCAGAGGGAAAAUUUGGACGAACCAGGCAUCUAUUUUCCCCUUCAAGGACAGAGUUCAUAGAGCAGAUUUCCUUCUGUCAUACCUGUCCUGUGAUCAUAGCAGGCCUCCUUUCUGAACUCUAGGCUCUCAACAAAAACGUGGAUGACAGAUUAAAGGAGCCACCGUGGCCAGUUUGGCUGCCAGGGGAAAUCAAUCUGAGAACAACCAAUUCAACAGAGACUUGCUCAGGCAGUGUCUGAGAACUAACUCAGGACUCCUCACUCCUGUUCAAUAGAGAACCCUGCACUUAACCUCUUAUCCCCUUGCCGUAAAAUGGAAAUGAGUCAUGGCUCCCUCAGAGCAAUAACAUUAGGUUUUAAUGAGUGUUUCUGAAGGAACUUUGAGAACUAUUGAUUUCGUUUUGCAUCGUAGAUUGGCUGCGUUUCUCUAGGACUAAAAACAAACUCUUCUGGCCAUUUGGAACCAUUGGAGCACCUGCUCUAAGCGGUCUGUAGUCCCACUCCUGGUGCUUCUCAGGAGAAUCCAAAUGGGCUGCCUUGGUACAAUGGGGGAUUCUGGGGCUAUUAAUAAACGCUCGCCUUCUCCGCUGCUGAGGAUGUCUGCUUUUAGCAAAUGCUUUUGUGGGACAGGAAGUUUUAUGUGGGGUUAAGAAAGCAGAGGUAGCAUAAUGACUAGAAUGUGGCCCCAGAGCCCUACAGGCCAGUCCUAGUCCCAUUUUCACUACACAGGCUCGUAUGACAUUGGGCAAGUCAUCUGAUCUCUCAGUGCCUCCGCUAACUCUCUGCCUAGACGCUGAUGAGUGAAAUCAUAGGCACAGCCUCCCUGUUGCACCCCCAAACAGGGAAAUUUCAGAAAAGCUGGAGCAUCUCGAAGACUGUUGAGAGUUCCUGUGCCUCAAGUUUCCCAUGUGAAUGUGGCUUGCAGGGGAGGUGAAAAUUGCUGUAAGCAAGCUAAAAAAGAGGCAGGAUAGGAGGGGAGGGGAGCAUCUUUGAAGCAGUGGACCUGUUAUCUUUUAAAGUCCACCCUAACCAUGAAGGACGGGAAGUCACUGCUAAGAAAGCAGAUGGGCGAGGGGAGAUUGAUUUCUGACCUCCAGGAAAGAGGCUUUUAUUGUGGAUGGUGCUGCUGAAAAGGGGCCAACAGGCAUGUCCCAGAGGAAUUUUGGUGCCAAGCAAGGCUGCAAAAAGAAAGCUGACCCAGUCCUUUUUCUUCAUACUGACUGCCUGCUCAGAAAUUAUAUCAGAGGAUCACAUUGAGAAAGCCAGCCUUGAAGAAAAGGGGAAUUAUUGAGACUUUACAGGAGAGCCUGAUUCUGAAUAAGUAUUUAAGGGAAAUGGGACGUACAGCAAACAGAGAGAAGCAGUAUAUUCAUUGCCUCUGUAUGGAACUAUUGUUCUGCUCUGUGCCCCUUUGCCUGCUUUGGAGAGCUUCUCCCUGCCAGCCAUUCAGGAGCAGGCUCUUUGUUCUUUGUGGACCACCACACUGAGAGGGAAAAAAUGGGCAAAUGGCUCCCAAAAAAGGUGCAUAAACAAAUGGAUUGUGGACAUUCUGUAGACACAAAAUUAAUUGCAGGCGAUCUUUUUAGACUUCAGGGCUUUUUCUGGCAUACUUCUGGCAGCUCUGUAUUCUGGGGUUUAAAAGAUGAAUAUCGUUUUAAAAUUACGAUAUCACAUUUUCAAGGAAAGGUAAAAAUAAAUCUCAAAUAAACCUUUUCAGUAACACAGUUAGCAUUUUUAGCACAUGAUAUAAAUAGUAAAAAGGUUGGUGUGAUGCAAAGCAGCUGUCUUGUCACUGGAUCUUUAUGCCUUGAAUCUUCAGGCUGGCAGGAAAAAGAAGAGCAUUACGAUUUUUUAAUACUUCUCGGCACUUUUUUGAAGGUUUGCAAUUGGAAAAGAGCCCAUCCAAAUGGAACAGGGGGGAAAGGACUUGUGGGAUAAAUUGGGACGCAGCUGAGAUCCCUCCAGAAUGUAAGCAGAAUUUUUUCUUCCACAGGACCAAUGGCUGAGGAGGCAUGCUCCCCACCCUCCCCACAGAAAGGGAAUGGAUGGAACACCUCAGGGUACAGAAGGAGACUGAUGUUUUUGGACAUUGUCAGUGCAGGAAUUUGUUUUUCUUGAUUAUGAGUAUUUGUUGAGAGAGAUGCCUGGCAUUUGAUACAUCCCUGUUUCUGAUUGCUCGCUGGAUUAGGAUCAAUUUGUAAUAUUCUACCACCUGGUCUAGAUCUCUGAAUAUACCACCAUCGCCUCGAGGGUGCAUUUCGCUUCUCAUGGAAUAUGAUUUGAAAUGAGAGUAUUUUACAUGCUCUGCAUCGAGUAUUAGUCAUGAUUAGUCAAGCGACAAAAAUGUCACUCAUCUCUGCUUCGUCCCCUUAAAUGUCCUGAUAGCUAGAAGGGUCUUCAACUUUGGAAACAGAGUCUUGGGCCCAACUGUGCCAUUUUGCCCAGGAAGUCAAUUCAACUCACCGCUCUACUUGGAGGUAAAUACAAAAGUGACAGUUAAUGUGCCCAAGGAACGUAUUCUAUGGACAGGGGAAUAACAUAGGGGGACUUGGGUUUAUAUAUGCACAGGUGUGCAUAUACAUAUACAUACCUAAGAAACAUGAGCAUGUAGAUUUAUGUGAACAUGUAUGCUGGUAUUCAUAUGUGACGUUUAAAUAUCUAUAUAAUUAAUGCACAGUUAAAAGGGAAGAAGCACUAAUUACUGGGAGAAACAAUAAA
Molecule: non-coding RNA, 2943 nt
Organism: Monodelphis domestica (gray short-tailed opossum)
Lineage: Eukaryota; Metazoa; Chordata; Mammalia; Didelphimorphia; Didelphidae
Source: RefSeq, a predicted model, not a curated record